Molecule: long non-coding RNA, 1287 nt
Filed under: Bos indicus x Bos taurus (hybrid cattle)
Lineage: Eukaryota; Metazoa; Chordata; Mammalia; Artiodactyla; Bovidae
Description: lncRNA (ENSBIXG00005011309.1)
Source: RNAcentral
GUUUAUUCAGUAAACAUCUCUCAAAUUAUUUCUCUAUGCCAGGCAUGGAGGCAUAAGAGGAAAGGAAGGAAAACACUCUAACCUUGUGAGAUGGAUAUUUUUGUCCCUGUUUUAUGAAUGAGAAGCCUGAGGUUCAAUGCCUGGCCCCAGAUGGCCUGAAACCCAAGUCACUAACCAGGGGUUCAUGGUUUUAUCCUCUCCAAGGCCAUGGAGCCUCUCUGACCUUCUCUGCUUGUUCUCUCCAUUUCCACUCUGUUGAGGCCCCAAGGCCAAACAGAGCACCUGGAAAUCACACAGUUCUGCUGAGCUCUGGCUUCCAGGUGUCUGAAUCCAAGGCUGAGAACUCAGAUUUGAAUGUUCAGGAACUCAACUGCCAAAAUAUCAGACAUAUAAGUGGAAAAAGUUUAUCCCUUUUGGGCUGAUAAAUAUUUGUCAGAAGCCUGGGAUGAUUGAGGUAAGACUCCAGUGGCUUGUCAAAGGGAGGAUUCAAUCAGACACUGCGUCAGAGAGAAGCAGCAGAUGAGCUGAACUUGAGAAAUCUUCCAGCCUUUUGCUUGACAGAUGUGGAAACUGAUGCCACGAGAGGGGACCUGGCAGGGCGCCAUCCAUGGGUCUUCCAGAAGCAUGGCACUUUCGAUUGAUCUGGCUGAGAAGACUCCCUCAGGAUCCACCUAACCACCUGCAGCCUGAGUGGGCACCACCUCUGGCUCCUUUGCAAAGAAAAACCUCUGUUUUGGGAUUGCAGCCCCAGGGACCUGCUGAACAGAUUAACCUGCAAGUUGUUAGGCGAGUUCAGGCCACAAGGUGGCAGCAGAGGACUAGCUUGGUCAUAUGCACUUGCUCGCUGACUUGGGAGGCCUGGUUGGGGCAGGUGCUUUCCUUCACACCAGGCGGUUGGAAAGGGAGGGGAGUGAGCCAGCAUUUUAGAGGGUUGGGGGAUCAGUACCAACAGAUGCAGAAAGAUUCCAGGAGGGUGUUAAGAUGAAACUUAAAAGAAUACAAAAUCAUGUAUUGAGUAUUUACUGUGAGCUGGGUAAUCUGCUUAACACAACAUAAACUAUAUGUUCCAUUUCUUGGAAUAACCUUAUUAUCCCUUUUUGAUGUAUGAGGAAACAGAGGCUCAGAUUAAUUAAAUUACUCACCCAGGCUCACAUAGUUAUAGGUGAUGGAGCCAGGAAUGAAAAUCAGGUCUGCCUGCCUUGAAAGCCUGAGUUCUGAACCUGUGUUCCACAGAGCAAGUGUCAGUGUAGACCUGUGGUUCUCAAAGUGUGGUCCUGGGACUCUGGU